AUUGAACGCUGGCGGCAGGCCUAACACAUGCAAGUCGAGCGGGCGGCGGGCGGGUGAGUAAUGUAUGGGGAUCUGCCCGAUAGAGGGGGAUAACUACUGGAAACGGAGGCUAAUACCGCAUACUAUCGGAUGAACCCAUAUGGGAUUAGCUAGUAGGUGGGGUAAAGGCUCACCUAGGCGACGAUCUCUAGCUGGUCUGAGAGGAUGAUCAGCCACACUGGGACUGAGACACGGCCCAGACUCCUACGGGAGGCAGCAGUGGGGAAUAUUGGACAAUGGGCGAAAGCCUGAUCCAGCCAUGCCGCGUGUGUGAAGAAGGCCUUCGGGUUGUAAAGUACUUUUGGCAGAGAGGCGGUAUCUGCAGAAUAAGCACCGGCUAACUACGUGCCAGCAGCCGCGGUAAUAC
Molecule: ribosomal RNA, 406 nt
Filed under: uncultured bacterium
Lineage: Bacteria
Description: partial 16S ribosomal RNA
Rfam family: Bacterial small subunit ribosomal RNA
Source: RNAcentral